Molecule: ribosomal RNA, 720 nt
Filed under: uncultured euryarchaeote
Lineage: Archaea; Methanobacteriati; Methanobacteriota
Description: bacterial SSU rRNA
Rfam family: Archaeal small subunit ribosomal RNA
Source: RNAcentral
GGGCUCAGUAACACGUGGACAACCUGCCCUUAGGACGGGGAUAAACCCGGGAAACUGGGUAUAAUACCCGAUAGGUCUCGAUUGCUGGAAUGCAUCGAGAUUUAAAGCUCCGGCGCCUAAGGAUGGGUCUGCGGCCUAUCAGGUAGUAGUGGGUGUAGCGUACCUACUAGCCUACGACGGGUACGGGUUGUGAGAGCAAGAGCCCGGAGAUGGAUUCUGAGACACGAAUCCAGGCCCUACGGGGUGCAGCAGGCGCGAAAACUUUACAAUGCUGGCAACAGCGAUAAGGGAACCUCGAGUGCCAGGUUACAAAUCUGGCUGUCGAGAUGCCUAAAAAGCAUUUCAUAGCAAGGGCCGGGCAAGACCGGUGCCAGCCGCCGCGGUAACACCGGCGGCUCGAGUGGUAACCGUUAUUAUUGGGUCUAAAGGGUCUGUAGCCGGCCGGAUAAGUCUCUUGAGAAAUCUGGCAGCUUAACUGUCAGGCUUUCAGGAGAUACUGUCUGGCUCGAGGCCGGGAGAGGUGAGAGGUACUCCAGGGGUAGGGGUGAAAUCUUGUAAUCCUUGAAGGACCACCAGUGGCGAAGGCGUCUCACCAGAACGGACCUGACGGCAAGGGACGAAAGCUAGGGGCACGAACCGGAUUAGAUACCCGGGUAGCCCUAGCCGUAAACGAUACUCGCUAGGUGUCGGCCACGGUGCGACCGUUGUCGGUGCCGUAGG